ACGGCUCAGUAACACGUGGACAACCUACCCUGAAGAGGGGGAUAACCCCGGGAAACUGGGGAUAAUACCCCAUAGGCUAUGGAUGCUGGAAUGCUCUGUAGUUGAAAGGUCCGCCGCUUCAGGAUGGGUCUGCGGCCGAUUAGGUUGUUGUUGGGGUAACGGCCCAACAAGCCUGUAAUCGGUACGGGUUGUGGGAGCAAGAGCCCGGAGAUGGAUUCUGAGACACGAAUCCAGGCCCUACGGGGCGCAGCAGGCGCGAAAACUUUGCAAUGCGAGCAAUCGUGACAAGGGAACUCCGAGUGCCUGUAAAAUCAGGCUGUCCGCCAGUGUAAAUAACUGGUGAAGAAAGGGCCGGGCAAGACCGGUGCCAGCCGCCGCGGUAAUACCGGCGGCUCGAGUGGUGGCCACUAUUACUGGGCUUAAAGCGUUCGUAGCUGGUCUGUUAAGUCUCUGGGGAAAUCUUCCGGCUUAACCGGAAGGCGUCUCAGGGAUACUGGCAGACUAGGGACCGGAAGAGGUGAGAGGUACUCCAGGGGUAGGAGUGAAAUCCUGUAAUCCUUGGGGGACCACCUGUGGCGAAGGCGUCUCACCAGAACGGCUCCGACAGUGAGGAACGAAAGCUGGGGGAGCAAACCGGAUUAGAUACCCGGGUAGUCCCAGCUGUAAACGAUGCGCGUUAGGUGUAUCGGUGACCACGAGUCACCGAGGUGCCGAAGAGAAAUCGUGAAACGUGCCGCCUGGGAAGUACGGUCGCAAGGCUGAAACUUAAAGGAAUUGGCGGGGGAGCAC
RNAcentral lists this ribosomal RNA (789 nucleotides) under uncultured archaeon. RNAcentral's name for it is "bacterial SSU rRNA". It matches the Rfam family "Archaeal small subunit ribosomal RNA", at positions 85 to 879 of the family's 1478-position model. The record is from RNAcentral.